Molecule: transfer RNA, 73 nt
Filed under: Stegodyphus mimosarum
Lineage: Eukaryota; Metazoa; Arthropoda; Arachnida; Araneae; Eresidae
Rfam family: tRNA
About the family: Transfer RNA (tRNA) molecules are approximately 80 nucleotides in length. Their secondary structure includes four short double-helical elements and three loops (D, anti-codon, and T loops). Further hydrogen bonds mediate the characteristic L-shaped molecular structure. tRNAs have two regions of fundamental functional importance: the anti-codon, which is responsible for specific mRNA codon recognition, and the 3' end, to which the tRNAs corresponding amino acid is attached (by aminoacyl-tRNA synthetases). tRNAs cope with the degeneracy of the genetic code in two manners: having more than one tRNA (with a specific anti-codon) for a particular amino acid; and 'wobble' base-pairing, i.e. permitting non-standard base-pairing at the 3rd anti-codon position.
Source: Rfam by way of RNAcentral
GCCUUCGUGGUGUAGUGGUCAGCACGCUCGGCGCGUAUUCGAGAGGUCCGUGGUUCGAGUCCUGGCGAGGGCA